AGUGAACGCUGGCGGCAGGCCUAACACAUGCAAGUCGAACGGCAGCAUAGUAAGAGUUUGCUUUUACGGGUGGCGAGUGGCGGACGGGUGAGGAGUACGUAGGAUUCCACUUUUACGUGGGUGAUAUCGUGGAGACAGUUCUACUAAUACAGCAUAUGUCCUACGGGUGAAAGCAGGGGUGCUUGGGACUUUUCGUGUUAGAUUGAGCUGAAGUCGGAUUGGCUAGUUGGGGGGGUAAAGGCACACCAAGGCGACGCUCCGUAGCUGGUCUGAGAGGAUGAUCAGCCACACUGGAACUGAGACACGGUCCAGACUCCUACGGGAGGCAGCAGUAGGGAAUCUUGGGCAAUGGGCGCAAGCCUGAUCCAGCAAUACCGCGUGAGUGAAGAAGGUCUUCGGAUUGUAAAACCCUGUUGUUAGGAAAGAAAAUCAGCGGGUUAAUACCCCGCUGUUCUGACGGUACCCAAAGAAUAAGCACCGGCUAACUUCGUG
RNAcentral lists this ribosomal RNA (492 nucleotides) under uncultured bacterium. RNAcentral's name for it is "partial 16S ribosomal RNA". It matches the Rfam family "Bacterial small subunit ribosomal RNA", at positions 29 to 507 of the family's 1533-position model. The record is from RNAcentral.